Molecule: small RNA, 287 nt
Filed under: Arabidopsis thaliana (thale cress)
Lineage: Eukaryota; Viridiplantae; Streptophyta; Magnoliopsida; Brassicales; Brassicaceae
Description: ATSL272790
Source: RNAcentral
GCGGUUUGCCAAAGCCCUAUAUAAAGCACCUCUAAGGACAAACAAAGAGGACACGCACAAAAACGCUCUCAACUUUAGGCUAUCAAAAACGCUCUGACUUUGAAGGCAAAACACUUAUUUUCUAUAUUUCUAAACACUUGUACGAUCAAAUCAUCAUUAUCUCAAUAACAUAAUCAAGAACACUGUCCACGGUAAUCAACAAUUCUGUUGUUCUUUGAGAAUCUCACAGAGAUCCGUUCUUUGAAAGAACCCUAAAUACAAUUUCGGUUGUGCGAGUUUCGACUCUC